AUGUAUGCAACCAAUGAUAGCAUAAAGCCCAGUUUUAAUGUAAUAAGAAGAAGGCAAUUCACCUGUACUCAGCUCUACAGCCUCCACCCCAGCUGGGGGAAAACAAAUGGUGGAAGGGGAGAGGGGAGAGGGAAGAUGGCAAGAAUAAUUAAAAUGAACAUGAUUAAGCUAUAAGAGCAGUUUCCAAAUUGUUGUUCCAUACCAAAGAAUUGAAGGAAGCAGAGGAAUGUGAGGGGUUGGGUAAGGUGAGUGCUUUCAUUUUUUUCUAAGGUUCACUUAAUUUUCCUCUUAAGCACUACCUAUUUAAUUUUUUUUUCCUUGUUAAGUGUAUAGCUGCCUAUUCAAAGCAAGCUCAAGAGGUAUGCACUUAAGCUAAGAGAAUAAAGGUAAUGUGAUGAUAAUUAUACA
RNAcentral lists this long non-coding RNA (408 nucleotides) under Anser cygnoides (Swan goose). Its description in RNAcentral is "lncRNA (ENSACDG00005018753.1)". Lineage: Eukaryota; Metazoa; Chordata; Aves; Anseriformes; Anatidae. The record is from RNAcentral.